Helianthus annuus (common sunflower) is the source of this 1196-nucleotide long non-coding RNA. RefSeq lists it as uncharacterized. NCBI's taxonomy places the organism in Eukaryota, Viridiplantae, Streptophyta, Magnoliopsida, Asterales, Asteraceae. The transcript has 10 exons. The record is from RefSeq and is a predicted model, not a curated record.
UUUGAGAGCAAUAUAGGACAUUUCAUCCAUAUCCUAUUGAAACGGCAGUUCCUUCCUUCAUCAAUGUAAAAAUUGAAUCCUUCAUCCCCAACUUGAAUGUUUCUUUUGAAACUGAUAACCAUUCAUAUUCGGGGUUUUAAUUUUAUUUGCGGAUUGAUCUCAGGUGACUGCAUUUGUAAAUUGAAGGUUUCGAGGUUAAGGCAUCGGUUUUUUUAUAGUGGUGAUGCCGGUGACGUGGCGGCGUUGAAGAAGUAAGGCUGUGGUGACGGUGGUGCUUGGAUCACUGUUUGGGCUCUGUUGCAGCAACAAUACAGAGGCCGGCACCCCAUCUUACACAAAUUCAAGUAACAACAACCAGUUGCCGGUAAACAAACGGUACAUUUCAUGGAAGGAUCACAGUAAUGAAAAGUUUGGCGGUGAAGUCUUCCCAAAAAAAUUCCAAAAUGGUAGUCUCAUUGGUGGUGGGCAUCUCAGUUAGUCUAUCACAUUCCAAAUUUGAACUUGUUGGUACAAGAACAUUGGAAGACAUGAAGAGUGGUGGAUCAAAAUGAAAAGAUAGGAGUCAAAGCAAGGAUGAGGAUAUACUGCAAAGUAAAGUUUUUACAGAAGGAUAGUUCAACAAAUGCUGAACAUUAACCUGCAAGAAGCCAGCCAAGGCCUCCCAGGUCUUAUGCUUUAGGAGGUAUGGAUCAUAUAGUCCCCUACUUUCUGGAGUCCUAGCCCAAUUAUGAGCUAAGAGGUCACAAAAUUAGUAUUGGUAGUUGGAACGGCUCAGAAACAUGCUCCAAGGGUCCAUCUGCAUAUGGUUAAGGAUGGGCGACAACGGGUGUGAUAUUGCGUUUUGGUUGGACUGCUGGUUGAAUGAAACCCCCCUAUGGUUAAAGUAUUCGACUUUGUUCGCUUUGGAGUGGUCGUAAAAUGUAUUCAUUGCGAAUAUACCACUGUGAUGUGACAUUCAAUUGGAGGAUGCAUCCAUUUUCCCAAGCAGAAGUAGAAGAGAUGGAUCGGCUGUUGGCUUAUUGCAUCUGGUUACAAUAUUUGAGAGGGGGGACCAAUGGAGGUAGGCUCUAGAGGCAUCAGAGUCGCUUUAAGUAUGUAGUCUGAGAUCACAAAUGCAAUUCCAGACAUGUGUUGACUUGGUCAAGUUGUUAAACAAUGUCAUCUAAAGCUUUUUCAUUAUGUCACUAUUAAAUGAA